This 460-nucleotide ribosomal RNA is filed under the name uncultured Streptococcus sp. RNAcentral's name for it is "bacterial SSU rRNA". It matches the Rfam family "Bacterial small subunit ribosomal RNA", at positions 923 to 1382 of the family's 1533-position model. The record is from RNAcentral. Lineage: Bacteria; Bacillati; Bacillota; Bacilli; Lactobacillales; Streptococcaceae.
GCACAAGCGAUGGAGCAUUGUGGUUUUAAUUCGAAGCAACGCGAAGAACCUUACCAGGUCUUGACAUCCCGAUGCUUAUUUCUAGAGAUAGAAAGUUACUUCGGUACAUCGGUGACAGGUGGUGCAUGGUUGUCGUCAGCUCGUGUCGUGAGAUGUUGGGUUAAGUCCCGCAACGAGCGCAACCCCUAUUGUUAGUUGCCAUCAUUCAGUUGGGCACUCUAGCGAGACUGCCGGUAAUAAACCGGAGGAAGUGGGGAUGACGUCAAAUCAUCAUGCCCCUUAUGACCUGGGCUACACACGUGCUACAAUGGUUGGUACAACGAGUUGCGAGUCGGUGACGGCGAGCUAAUCUCUUAAAGCCAAUCUCAGUUCGGAUUGUAGGCUGCAACUCGCCUACAUGAAGUCGGAAUCGCUAGUAAUCGCGGAUCAGCACGCCGCGGUGAAUACGUUCCCGGGCCUU